UACGUAGGGUCCGAGCGUUGUCCGGAGUUACUGGGCGUAAAGCGCGCGCAGGCGGCGGUGCUGGCCCGGCGUGAAAGCCCCCGGCUCAACUGGGGAGGGUCACUCGAUACUGAUCGACUUGAAGGCAGGAGAGGGAAGCGGAAUUCCCGGUGUAGUGGUGAAAUGCGUAGAUAUCGGGAGGAACACCAGUGGCGAAGGCGGCUUCCUGGCCUGUUCUUGACGCUGAGGCGCGAAAGCUAGGGGAGCAAACGGG
This 253-nucleotide ribosomal RNA is filed under the name uncultured bacterium. Its description in RNAcentral is "partial 16S ribosomal RNA". It matches the Rfam family "Bacterial small subunit ribosomal RNA", at positions 524 to 776 of the family's 1533-position model. The record is from RNAcentral.